GAUGAACGCUGGCGGCGUGCCUAAUACAUGCAAGUCGAGCGAACGGACGAGAAGCUUGCUUCUCUGACGUUAGCGGCGGACGGGUGAGUAACACGUGGAUAACCUACCUAUAAGACUGGGAUAACUUCGGGAAACCGGAGCUAAUACCGGAUAAUAUCUUGAACCGCAUGGUUCAAAAGCGAAAGACGGUCUUGCUGUCACUUAUAGAUGGAUCCGCGCUGCAUUAGCUAGUUGGUAAGGUAACGGCUUACCAAGGCAACGAGGCAUAGCCGACCUGAGAGGGUGAUAGCCGACACUGGAAAGUAGACACGGUCCAGACGCCUACGGGAGGCAGCAGUAGGCAAUGUUCCGCAAUAGGCGAAAACCUGGAAGAGCAACGCCGCGUGAGUGAUGAAGGUGUUCGGAUCGGAAAACUCUGUUAUUAGGGAAGAACAUAUGUGUAAGUAACUGUGCACAUCUUGACGGUACCUAGUCAGAAAGCCACGGCUAACUACGUG
RNAcentral lists this ribosomal RNA (497 nucleotides) under uncultured bacterium. Its description in RNAcentral is "partial 16S ribosomal RNA". It matches the Rfam family "Bacterial small subunit ribosomal RNA", at positions 28 to 507 of the family's 1533-position model. The record is from RNAcentral.